GCUGCGGUAGCUCAGUGGUAGAGCGGAGGAUUGCAGUCCGUGAUAACAUCCUCAGGUCCUGUGUUCGAACCACAGUCGCAGCU
This 83-nucleotide transfer RNA is filed under the name Blumeria hordei DH14. Its description in RNAcentral is "tRNA-Cys for anticodon GCA". It matches the Rfam family "tRNA". From Rfam's summary of the family: Transfer RNA (tRNA) molecules are approximately 80 nucleotides in length. Their secondary structure includes four short double-helical elements and three loops (D, anti-codon, and T loops). Lineage: Eukaryota; Fungi; Ascomycota; Leotiomycetes; Helotiales; Erysiphaceae. The record is from RNAcentral.